AUACGGCCAUACCCACUGGAAAACUCGGGAUCCCGUCCGCUCUCCCAUAGAUAAGCCAGUGAGGGCCGGAUUAGUAGUUGGGUCGGUGACGACCAGCGAAUACCUGGUGUUGUAUG
This 116-nucleotide ribosomal RNA is filed under the name Colletotrichum higginsianum. The record is from RNAcentral. Lineage: Eukaryota; Fungi; Ascomycota; Sordariomycetes; Glomerellales; Glomerellaceae.